This is a non-coding RNA of Schistosoma mansoni, 48 nucleotides long. Lineage: Eukaryota; Metazoa; Platyhelminthes; Trematoda; Strigeidida; Schistosomatidae. The record is from Rfam.
AUCCAGCUGGCAAGUCCCAAAUAGGACGAAACGCGCGUCAAACUGGAU